This 253-nucleotide ribosomal RNA is filed under the name uncultured bacterium. RNAcentral's name for it is "partial 16S ribosomal RNA". It matches the Rfam family "Bacterial small subunit ribosomal RNA", at positions 524 to 776 of the family's 1533-position model. The record is from RNAcentral.
UACGAAGGGGGCUGGCGUUGUUCGGAUUUACUGGGCGUAAAGCGCACGUAGGCGGAUUGUUAAGUCGGGGGUGAAAUCCUGGAGCUCAACUCCAGAAUUGCCUUCGAUACUGGCUUUCUAGAGGCUGGAAGAGGUUAGUGGAAUUCCCAGUGUAGAGGUGAAAUUCGUAGAUAUUGGGAAGAACACCAGUGGCGAAGGCGGCUAACUGGUCCAGAUCUGACGCUGAGGUGCGAAAGCGUGGGGAGCAAACAGG